GAGGAUAUGGCGGAAUUGGUAGACGCGAUGGACUUAAAAUCCAUUGGUUUAUUAAACCUUGAGGGUUCAAGUCCCUCUAUCCUCA
This 85-nucleotide transfer RNA is filed under the name Bigelowiella natans. Its description in RNAcentral is "tRNA-Leu". It matches the Rfam family "tRNA". From Rfam's summary of the family: Transfer RNA (tRNA) molecules are approximately 80 nucleotides in length. Their secondary structure includes four short double-helical elements and three loops (D, anti-codon, and T loops). Further hydrogen bonds mediate the characteristic L-shaped molecular structure. tRNAs have two regions of fundamental functional importance: the anti-codon, which is responsible for specific mRNA codon recognition, and the 3' end, to which the tRNAs corresponding amino acid is attached (by aminoacyl-tRNA synthetases). tRNAs cope with the degeneracy of the genetic code in two manners: having more than one tRNA (with a specific anti-codon) for a particular amino acid; and 'wobble' base-pairing, i.e. permitting non-standard base-pairing at the 3rd anti-codon position. The record is from RNAcentral. Lineage: Eukaryota; Cercozoa; Chlorarachniophyceae. RNAcentral also lists the same sequence under 1 other name.